ACUAGUUUCUUUAAACUGGAGGCACAAAAGACUUAGAAUCUAUUAAUGCCUUUUCAUAUUUCCGAACAGAAAGACAUCAGCUGUUGCUUCGGUGUCUCACAGGGAGCGGCGGGACAUGUCUGGGACCUGCGGCUGCAUAGUGAACGAGGAGCGGUUUAUAUUCGGCGGCUGCUGUGAUGAUGGACAGACGAAUGAACUUUACUCCGACAGCCUGCAGGACGAGAGGUGCAGCUGGAGGAGAGCGACUAAUAUGAGUGUGGAUCUCCCGACAGAAUCAUCUACUUUGGUGGAUAUGGCCACAAACCGCUGAGUGCCAUCCACGAUCCGGAGAGCUUCAUUGUGGAUGAAGCAUCAUGGGCCGAGGACAUCUUCUGGGGAUGGAACAAUGAAGUUCAUGAGUUUGAUCCGGAAAGAAGCAGCUGGACCGAACCGCAGACCUUCGGGAGUCAUUCAGCUUCGUGAUUUCAGUCGUGUUUCCAGCUCUAUGAAGUUAGGAAGUACAUGAGUGUGUGUUUAAAACAGUAUGAAGUGUGUUUGUGAAUGAUUGUGAAUUCAUGGACAUGGUCAGAAAUGUAAGAGACGUCACAUAGCUCCUCACUCAUGUAUAUAAUCCGCUCUUGAGUGUUAUGUGUCUCGUCUGGUGUUUGUAGAGUUGGGUUGGGUCUGGCGCCUGUGGGACGCUCAUGGCACACGCUAACAGCCGUGUCUGAUACGUCUCUUUCUGUUCAGUGGACUCAGACCCAUGAGUAUGACGCACACAAAAACACAACUCUAAAUUAAUGCAUAGUUAAAAAACUAAACUACAGACCUUUUUCUUUCUCCUCAGGUGAUGGCUGGAUGUUUAAUCUGGAGACAGAAGGAUGGACAGAGAUGGAGCAUCAAAACAAGGACAAACCGCGGUAGGUGAAAACAUGCAGAAAUGGAGAUGGAAAGAAUAAGAUAUUAUGAUUGCAUUCCUCAAGCUCUCUUUCGCUCUGGUUUUCUAGUCUGUGGCACACCGCGUGUCAAGGAAGAGACUCAGAUGUUGUAGUGUUUGGAGGAAGUCAUGAUUUUAUCCUUUUAGUGGACAAAGUGAGUGUUGUGGGCUCCACGGUGUACCGAUAAUUCAGCAAACAUCUGAAAUCUGUAAGCCUGGGUCAGUGAAGAUGAUUUGUUUUGCAGGGCCACUGCAACGAGGCGCUUGUUUUCCAGACUCCGCCGCUGAUGUGGUAACAAUCACUGAACUGUGGAACAGGAAUUAUGGGCUGAUGGAGAACAAACUGAUGCGAUGUAUUUCCACAGAUUGUGCCAAGACUUCAUUGCAAGCCACACCGGCAUGUUUCAGUACCAGAUUCUCUGUUUACCACCAAAACUGAGAAACGCUGUGCACAAAAGGACAAUUUUCUUCAGGCCAAGCACAGUCACAGAAUGUGGAAUGAUUUGCUUUAAA
Molecule: long non-coding RNA, 1429 nt
Organism: Sinocyclocheilus grahami
Lineage: Eukaryota; Metazoa; Chordata; Actinopteri; Cypriniformes; Cyprinidae
Exons: 3
Source: RefSeq, a predicted model, not a curated record